AGAGUUUGAUACCUGGCUCAGAGCGAACGCUGGCGGCAGGCCUAACACAUGCAAGUCGAACGAACUCUUCGGAGUUAGUGGCGGACGGGUGAGUAACACGUGGGAACGUGCCUUUAGGUUCGGAAUAACUCAGGGAAACUUGUGCUAAUACCGAAUGUGCCCUUCGGGGGAAAGAUUUAUCGCCUUUAGAGCGGCCCGCGUCUGAUUAGCUAGUUGGUGAGGUAAAGGCUCACCAAGGCGACGAUCAGUAGCUGGUCUGAGAGGAUGAUCAGCCACAUUGGGACUGAGACACGGCCCAAACUCCUACGGGAGGCAGCAGUGGGGAAUCUUGCGCAAUGGGCGAAAGCCUGACGCAGCCAUGCCGCGUGAAUGAUGAAGGUCUUAGGAUUGUAAAAUUCUUUCACCGGGGACGANAANGAC
Molecule: ribosomal RNA, 420 nt
Filed under: Brevundimonas sp. A12
Lineage: Bacteria; Pseudomonadati; Pseudomonadota; Alphaproteobacteria; Caulobacterales; Caulobacteraceae
Description: bacterial SSU rRNA
Rfam family: Bacterial small subunit ribosomal RNA
Source: RNAcentral